Molecule: long non-coding RNA, 288 nt
Filed under: Bos taurus (domestic cattle)
Lineage: Eukaryota; Metazoa; Chordata; Mammalia; Artiodactyla; Bovidae
Description: long non-coding RNA NONBTAT016437
Source: RNAcentral
CCCUAACCCGCCAGGUGUCCGCGCCGCUCGACCCUCGACCCUUCACCUCCCCGGGGUCUGCUUGCUCCUACAGCCGUCGAAGGUGCCUGCCGACUGGGCCGGAGGGGUGAGGGUGCCUGGGUAGGACGCGACACCCCGGCGCUGCGCGACGGCGUGCUUUGAAUUUAAAAAUUUUUGAAGGGCCAUGCGGCUUGAAUACAGUCUGCAAACAUGCUCCCAAGUAGAGUUUUAAAAUGACAUGGUCCUUCCGCUUUUUUUUUUAAUGCUAAGAUUUAUUCUCCGGGACUU